RNAcentral lists this ribosomal RNA (497 nucleotides) under uncultured Methylophaga sp. Its description in RNAcentral is "bacterial SSU rRNA". It matches the Rfam family "Bacterial small subunit ribosomal RNA", at positions 533 to 1030 of the family's 1533-position model. The record is from RNAcentral. Lineage: Bacteria; Pseudomonadati; Pseudomonadota; Gammaproteobacteria; Thiotrichales; Piscirickettsiaceae.
GCUGACGGGUAUUCGGGAUUACUGGGCGUAAGCGCGCGUAGGCGGUUUAUUAAGUCAGAUGUGAAAGCCCGGGCUCAACCUGGGAAUUGCAUUUGAGACUGGUAGGCUAGAGUGUGGUAGAGGUGAGUGGAAUUUCAGGUGUAGCGGUGAAAUGCGUAGAGAUCUGAAGGAACAUCAGUGGCGAAGGCGACUCACUGGGCCAUUACUGACGCUGAGGUGCGAAAGCGUGGGUAGCAAACAGGAUUAGAUACCCUGGUAGUCCACGCCCUAAACGAUGUCAACUAGGUGUAUGGAGAAUUUAUUCUUUGUGUAUCGAAGCUAACGCGAUAAGUUGACCGCCUGGGGAGUACGGUCGCAAGACUAAAACUCAAAUGAAUUGACGGGGGCCCGCACAAGCGGUGGAGCAUGUGGUUUAAUUCGAUGCAACGCGAAGAACCUUACCUGGCCUUGACAUGUACGGAAGAUUGAAGAGAUUCGAUUGUGCCUUCGGGAACCGU